GCCCGGAUGGUUUAGGGGUAUAAUUCUCGCUUUGGGUGGCAAUUGUCAUGUCCUGAUUGCGAGAGGUCCUGGGUUCGAUUCCCAGUUCGGGCC
This is a transfer RNA of 93 nucleotides. It matches the Rfam family "tRNA". From Rfam's summary of the family: Transfer RNA (tRNA) molecules are approximately 80 nucleotides in length. The record is from Rfam.